Podarcis raffonei (Aeolian wall lizard) is the source of this 1525-nucleotide long non-coding RNA. RefSeq lists it as uncharacterized. The record is from RefSeq and is a predicted model, not a curated record. The transcript is spliced from 3 exons. Lineage: Eukaryota; Metazoa; Chordata; Lepidosauria; Squamata; Lacertidae.
CUUUAAUUGAAUGCUCCAGGGUCCACCUAGUCCAGUGGGUCUCAAAGCUUUUCGGGCCACCCUUGGUUGCAUCAACUUAUCCCCAGUUCUCCCUACCCUAUCAAAAAGCAUUUUCCACUAAGGAAGAUAACAACACAAUAGAAUUCCAAACAGUUACAAUGAAUUGCACAUUUAUUUGAAAUUCAGUUUAAACUAUUUAAUUUAAUCGAUUCAACACUGCUUAAUACAGUGGUACCAGUUGCAGAUGUGUGCGAUGACCAUUUGCUACAUAUCAGCUGUAGGAAAUCCAAAUAUAACCAUGAUGUUUCACACAGUCAAAAUCUGUGAAGCUGCCUCUGGCAAGUCAACCAGAAAAUGGAUAUGCUGUUAUUUUUUUACCUAAUUUUUUUACAGAUGAUGAGGAGGUGGUGAGAGACCUGCGGAUUUUCAUUGUAGCAACCCCAGAAGGAAAAGAAAAUAUUGUGACCGAUAUUCUGUGCACUUUCCAAAACACGGAAACUGCUCCAACCCAGCUGCACAUUGGUGAAUGGUACCCUGGUUCCCAAAUGGCUUAGUUGAGGAACAAGUCGGCUCCCAAAUGCCACAAACCCGGAAAUGAGGAGCCUUGUGGAUGGGAGAUAAGGAUACCAACCAAGGCCUUUGUUCUUUGUGGGAAAAGAGCCAUGCUUGUUGCUCACUAUUAAACCAUUACAAAUGAUAGGAAAACAUUGUCUUGCUGUAUUUCAAAGACACACAAACCCAACAACGGUGGCUUUCUGAUAGUCAACAAGUGUUGAGGUCCUUCUUUGGAAAAAUAAAACCCCAAGCAAAACAGAUAUGUUUUAUGAACAGUGGCAUAUCAAUAUUUGAAUAAAUAAAUGUUAAUAAUCACAAAGUGAAUAUCAUAAUUUUUUGAGGGUGGUGCAUUUUAAGCCGGAGCCCAAUCCUGGCAAGUUUUCAGCACAUGGUCAUCCCUUUUCAAUUGUAUUUUCUCACCAUUAAUAAAGCUUUGCAUCAGAUACACUUAUUAAAAUGUGUGUGGUUUGCAAGCAAUUGCAGCAAGCUUUGCUUCUUUCCCAUCUGUCUCCUGCUGGCACCAAGAGUUGAAGUUUUCUGGUUUAUCUAACCCAGGCAUAGGCAAACUCGGCCCUCCAGAUGUUUUGGGACUACAACUCCCAUCAUCCCUAACUAACAGGACCAGUGAUCAGGGAUGAUGGGAGUUGUAGUCCCAAAACAUUUGGAGGGCCGAGUUUGCCCAUGUCUGAUUUAAUCCUUCUGCUGUGCUAGGAAUUCUGAUAAGAUAAAUUUGGGCAGAUUCCAUCUGACCCCUGAUAGUCAUUACCAACUGCAAUGAAUUUUAGGUGUCUUUUAAAUUUUGUUUUUUUAUUUGUUCAGGCAUUUGGUUAGUUGACUGCAGGAGCUGUUUUGUCACUCUCGUUAUACCUGUUAAAUUUGAAAUGUUGUGGUUGUGGUCUGAUAUUUCAGGUUGCUUUCUUUUAUUAUGUAUUAUAUAUGGUUAUGUUGUACUCUGCUCCAGGGCUAGUUU